AGGAGGGGCGUGGGGCUGGGGAGAUCUUCCUUUGGAAGGGCAGUGGUAACAUGGUCUCCUGGUAUCCCUAGGGGCCACAAGGGAGGACAACAGUGUGAGUUGGGCACGGCCACAGAGCAAGUGAGCAGAGCAGCUGGGCGCAUCUGAGGUAGACGGAUGCAGCGGCCUAGGUCUUUGUAGAGUGAUGGGAUGCUGACUGACAGGGCUGUUGUGUGGGGCUUGUGAUAGUUUUUGUUUUUUUCAGAUGACGAAGAGGCAGCUGGUGACUGGAGGAGUGACGUGUGCUUGUCCUCCAGAAGGAAGGGAAGAGGGAGAGACUCGGCCCCUUGAAAGCUAAGUUGAGGCAACGGUGCUGGGGAAGGGGUUGGGGGAGCGAGGGGGGGCACGGUUGGCUGUGGCAGGAAGGGGUUCUAAAGAGAGCGUAGGGGAGAGGGUUGUCUAGGAAGCGGUCCCCUUUGAGCAGGGGAAUGGAGCGGGUUCCUCUGAAAUAUGACAGUAGUGUGCCCUGGGCAGGGCGGUUCCAGGCUGUGCGUGUCGUUGUGUAGUGCGUCUGUGUGUUGGGUGUGUUUGACCUUCCUCGGGUCUCGGGUGUUCUUUGUUCCGCAGGAUCUCGAGGCAGGUGCCUCGGCAGCGUUAGUAGGGCCCGGCGAGGCCCUAGUCGUGGGCACGGCGCCCAUCGGGCGCUUCUCUUUUGGCGUCGCAAGCUUCCAGCGUGGAUCGUUUUGGCGUCUCGGGUGGUUCUGGCCGGUGGUCUUGUGCCGCGCCGUUCCCGGCCACGUGAGCGGCUCUGCUCACUCCCAGUCGCUUUUAGGGACUGGCGCUUCUUCCUUGCAUCUUCAGGGGCUGAGGUCUUGAAGGCGGGCUGCUUGCGCAUCCGUCUCGUCAGUUUUGAGAGGAAGCGCUUGUCCCCGCCCACGAAGGUGUCGUCGUUUUCUGGCGUGGCGCUAGGAGCACGCUAGGGUCCUGCGCCUGCUCUUACCGCAUGGAGGUUUUCUGUCCGUGCGUCGUCGCUCUCGCCGACCAACUUGGCUUGUAUUUUGAGGCGUGUUGUUGUUGGCGUUCUGUGUAGGGUUCGCCUGUGGUUGUGGUGUCUUGGCUUGGAGCCGCCCUGCCCGGGGGUGUCGAGUCAGGGCAAGGUGGCACAGGAGCGUUUGAGGUGAACUGGGUUGCAGAGAAGAGGGGGGUGUAGCUGGUGAUUUUUUUAGGAAUUGCAGUGGCAACUCUGUGCUUGUAUCUCCAGGGGGCCGCAAAGGAUGGUGACCAUCCAAGUCCAGCACGGGUGAAGGAAUAUAUGUUCCUCCCUCUGGUCACCAUCAUCUUUGGGUGACUGCACGCUACUAAAUUUCCUCCGACACUUGUGGAGAGGUCCUAGAGGAAUGCGACAGGUGGAAAAGCACGCUUUAUGUCCAGUGUUUCCCAAAACUGGAGGCAUAAUAAAGGAGCAUUACUAAUACAAUAAUAAAGGAAAUGAAAACAUGUGUGUCAUUGUUUUAUUCAGGCCUCCUGUGUGUUAUUUGUGGGUGGGGUGUAAUUUCCAGUGGGUGGGAUUUAAUCACAGGGCUCUAUGUAGCCCUUAAACUCUAUGGGAGGUAAUUAAAGGAAAAAAAGCAGCAGUAGGGAAUGGCUUUUGGCUCUUUGAGUAAAUAAGAAA
Molecule: non-coding RNA, 1651 nt
Organism: Phalacrocorax carbo (great cormorant)
Lineage: Eukaryota; Metazoa; Chordata; Aves; Suliformes; Phalacrocoracidae
Source: RefSeq, a predicted model, not a curated record